AUAUCUCUCCGUACGGGAAGGAUGAGAAGCUUCGACUAAGGUUCGAUUCGAGCGAAAGCGAGAAAGCGUUGCCGCAG
RNAcentral lists this small RNA (77 nucleotides) under Salmonella enterica. Its description in RNAcentral is "partial RtT sRNA". It matches the Rfam family "RtT RNA", at positions 1 to 76 of the family's 130-position model. Rfam says of the family: This family represents a bacterial cis-regulatory element known as RtT RNA. The exact function of RtT is unknown although it is thought that it may be involved in changing the cellular response in relation to amino acid starvation. The record is from RNAcentral. Lineage: Bacteria; Pseudomonadati; Pseudomonadota; Gammaproteobacteria; Enterobacterales; Enterobacteriaceae. RNAcentral also lists the same sequence under 1 other name.